This 492-nucleotide ribosomal RNA is filed under the name uncultured bacterium. Its description in RNAcentral is "partial 16S ribosomal RNA". It matches the Rfam family "Bacterial small subunit ribosomal RNA", at positions 29 to 507 of the family's 1533-position model. The record is from RNAcentral.
AGUGAACGCUGGCGGUAGGCCUAACACAUGCCAGUCGAACGGCAGCACAGUAAGAGCUUGCUCUUACGGGUGGCGAGUGGCGGACGGGUGAGGAAUACAUCGGAAUCUACUUUUUCGUGGGGGAUAACGUAGGGAAACUUACGCUAAUACCGCAUACGACCUACGGGUGAAAGCAGGGGAUCUUCGGACCUUGCGCGAUUGAAUGAGCCGAUGUCGGAUUAGCUAGUUGGCGGGGUAAAGGCCCGCCAAGGCGACGAUCCGUAGCUGGUCUGAGAGGAUGAUCAGCCACACUGGAACUGAGACACGGUCCAGACUCCUACGGGAGGCAGCAGUGGGGAAUAUUGGACAAUGGGCGCAGGCCUGAUCCAGCCAUACCGCGUGGGUGAAGAAGGCCUUCGGGUUGUAAAGCCCUUUUGUUGGGAAAGAAAAGCAGCAGGUUAAUACCCCGCUGUUCUGACGGUACCCAAAGAAUAAGCACCGGCUAACUUCGUG